RNAcentral lists this ribosomal RNA (635 nucleotides) under Naganishia globosa. RNAcentral describes it as "eukaryotic LSU rRNA". It matches the Rfam family "Eukaryotic large subunit ribosomal RNA", at positions 47 to 663 of the family's 3401-position model. The record is from RNAcentral. Lineage: Eukaryota; Fungi; Basidiomycota; Tremellomycetes; Filobasidiales; Filobasidiaceae.
UAAGCGGAGGAAAAGAAACUAACAAGGAUUCCCCUAGUAACGGCGAAGUGAAGCGGGAAGAGCUCAAAUUUGAAAUCUGGUAGCCUUCGGUUGCCCGAGUUGUAAUCUAGAGAAGUGUUUUCCGCGUUGGCCCAUGUACAAGUCCCUUGGGAACAGGGCGUCAUAGAGGGUGAGAAUCCCGUCCUUGACCAUAGGACCCCCAAUGCUUUGUGAUACACUUUCAACGAGUCGAGUUGUUUGGGAAUGCAGCUCAAAAUGGGUGGUGAAUUCCAUCUAAAGCUAAAUAUUGGCGAGAGACCGAUAGCGAACAAGUACCGUGAGGGAAAGAUGAAAAGCACUUUGGAAAGAGAGUUAAACCAGUACGUGAAAUUGUUGAAAGGGAAACGAUUGAAGUCAGUCAUGCUCUUUGGAUUAAGCCGUUCUGCGGUGUAUUUCAUUGAGCGGGGUCAACAUCCUAGUUUUGAUCGCUGGAAAAGGGCCUAGGAGGAAGGUAGCACUCUCGGGUGAACUUAUAGCCUCUUGUCGUAUACAGUGAUUGGGACUGAGGAACGCAGCAUGCCUUUUGGCCGGGAUUCGUCCACGUACAUGCUUAGGAUGUUGACAUAAUGGCUUUAACCGACCCGUCUUGAAACACG